This 1720-nucleotide long non-coding RNA is filed under the name Lactuca sativa (garden lettuce). RNAcentral's name for it is "long non-coding RNA (LSAT_LNC000450)". Lineage: Eukaryota; Viridiplantae; Streptophyta; Magnoliopsida; Asterales; Asteraceae. The record is from RNAcentral.
UGAUUUACCCUUCAGUUUUAAAAACAGUUUUACGUUAUCUACUCAUCUGUUUAUUCCUUAAAUCACACCUCUGUUUGCUCCAAUUUUACAUUCUUGAUUUUGGAAACUAGAUACCUAUUCAAAUUAAAAUAAACAUUCGAUUCCUAUCUACUUUUGUCCAAAAAUCGCUGCUCAUCGUUAGAUGGUUUAAGCAUCGGUUUUGAUUUUCGGAUUUUGGAACUCAACCGCUUCAUUCCAAAAAGGUCUCUCCAUACUUUUCUCUCGACAAGAUUUUAGGGUUUUGGAUGUUAUUCAUGGUUUCCAUCAAUCUCAUCUUCUAUUACUGGCGACAUAACUCCCAUCCAUCAACAAAACCUUUUCAUCUUUGUGGAGUUUUGGGUUCAUCUUCUUUAAGAUCCACUUAAUGGUGGUUUGAGGGUAUUUAUUUGAAGUUGGGGCAGAUAUGAGGUAUGAAUCUGGAUCUUCGACUCGAUUUUGAUUUUUAUUUGUAUGAAUCAUGAUUUUUAUUUGUAUCUUUUACUGUUUAGAAACUAUGUAAUUGUAUAUAUGCAUUUUCAAGGUCUAAAUGAUAAUAAUGAUUGAGAUGGGAGCUUAUCAGACUCGGAAUUGGUUCAAUUGAUUUGUAGGGUUCUAGCUUGUCUAACAACUAUUUUGGUGAUCAAGAAUACAGGGAUGAUUGGAGUGAGAAAGUGUAUAAGAUCAAUUGAAUUUUUAGAGAAGUCUUUCCUAGGAUAAAGUAUAUGAGGGAUUUUUUAUGUUUAUUAAAAAACUUACUAACAGAUAGGCUCUUACUUGAUGUUGAUUAUUUGACUUCUGUGACCAAAGGACCAAUGGCCUAGCGGUAUGGAGUGACCAUCUCAUAUGAGAAGUCAGGGAUUCAAGUCUCGAUGGAGACAUAGGUGGUUAUUUAGGACUAGAUCGAUUAGUUAGUUUGCCAUUUCAAAAAAAAAUUGACUUCUGUGAGUUUGCAUUUUACUCUUUGCAGUUGAGACUGCUUUGAAGAAGAGAAGAUGAAAGAGAUGUUUGUUAAAUUGUUGUUUGGUGAAGUCAUCUCUUAGAAGGACAAAGGGGGUGAAUGUGUAACCAUGUCUAGGUCUUCCCACAAAUUUGACUCAGAAUUGGGUCAUAUUCACUUUUAUAAUAUCUUAUUCCAUCUAUUAUUAGUGACCAACACUUUUAUUUUUCUUACUUUUUGUCAUAAGUAGACAAUUUUAAUUUAAAGUUUGGUUAUGUAUACUAUCAUGCAGUUACUAUUGAGUGUAGGUAGAGGAGUAGUGAUGGAAACUCAAUAAAUACCUUAUGUAUCGAUUUGGAUUUUUCGUUAUGUGACUCCUGUCAAGUAUAGCAAUGAGAUUUUAGUGUUAAUGAGUUCAAAAAAUUUAUGAUUUUUGUUUUUAUUUUGUUUUUCUUGUGGAUGAUGGGCUUGGUCAUUAUAAUAUUGACAUGUCUUUGUUCUCAUGUGCAGGUGAGUAGUGUGUAGUUCUUAGGUGGUUGGGGAUUUGGGAAAAGAAUGUGUAAUUGGGAAGGAUAAAAGUGCACAAAACUUGAGGUUUAAUUGAAACAUGUUUUAUCUAUUAAACAUGUGAUCUACUGUGUAUUUCUUCAACACUAUUAAUGUGUUUAAACUUAUAUUAUAAAUUUGGAUUUUCACUUUCAUAUUCAAUUUUAUAUUUAUUAUACUAUAUUGUACAAAACAUUGUAAUUUUCAUGAUUUACUGCC